This 414-nucleotide ribosomal RNA is filed under the name uncultured bacterium. RNAcentral describes it as "bacterial SSU rRNA". It matches the Rfam family "Bacterial small subunit ribosomal RNA", at positions 29 to 487 of the family's 1533-position model. The record is from RNAcentral.
AACGAACGCUGGCGGCAUGCCUAACACAUGCAAGUCGAACGAGACCUUCGGGUCUAGUGGCGCACGGGUGCGUAACGCGUGGGAAUCUGCCCUUAGGUUCGGAAUAACUUCGGGAAACUGAAGCUAAUACCGGAUGAUGAUGUAAGUCCAAAGAUUUAUCGCCUAAGGAUGAGCCCGCGUUGGAUUAGCUAGUUGGUGAGGUAAAAGGCUCACCAAGGCGACGAUCCAUAGCUGGUCUGAGAGGAUGAUCAGCCACACUGGGACUGAGACACGGCCCAGACUCCUACGGGAGGCAGCAGUGGGGAAUAUUGGGACAAUGGGCGAAAGCCUGAUCCAGCAAUGCCGCGUGAGUGAUGAAGGCCUUAGGGUUGUAAAGCUCUUUACCCGGGAUGAUAAUGACAGUACCGGGAGAAU